CACAGUUGAGAGCGCGCCGCCUGCCCCCCUCAGGCCGCCGGGGGAACUGACCCCUGCACCUACACAGCAUGUUAGCCUGGGGUGUUGGAAGAGUAGCCCAAAUACUGGAGUAUAGAUCUGGAUCAUACCCUGGGCUCUGCUGGGUCGAUGCCUCGUCUGCUCAGUUGUCUCCUGAUCUACACGCUUUACCUGUAUUAUAAUUUGUAUUAGAUUUGUAUAACAUAAAGCUUCAUAACUCCUCCCUCUGUUGAGGGAACAAAAAACAACAACAAAAAAAAACUAAAUUGUAAUUCAAUGCUACAACUGUUUCACUGUUUAUUGUAUAUAUUUCCAGAUUGUUUACUUUAUCAUUUUAUUUCAUUUUUAUUUUAUUUUGUUGUCUACUUUAGUUGUAUUUAUAUCUUAUCUCUUGUUUCCAUUCAUGCUGUAUUUCUAUUUCUACUUUGCACAGAGCACCUGUAACAAAAACAAUUUCCCCCGGGAUAAAUAAAGUAGGACACAGCAUGUCUUCAGUGUCCAGACUGUAAAGCCCCCUGAGGUCAUGUGAUUGUAAUUUUGGGCUUUAUAAAUAAACCUGAUUUGAUAAUGAGAUUUAAGCUGUCACAAAGUCACAUUUCACCUUUUUUUGACAGCUUGAGAAGCAGCCAGCGGAUCAUCUGCCAGUUCAAACAGGACAUGUUUCUUUCUGGAGUGCUGACACUUAAUUAGCACUCUAGUCUGAACACUGUUGUGAAAUGAUAAAUAACAUGAAAGCAGUGAAGACUUUGAGAUUUUAUUCUUGUAGUUGUGAAACAGCAUUUACAUCUCUGCUGAACCUCAUGCUUCUACAGUUAUUUAGGGGGGACAGACUGAGACUCCUGAAGCUGAUUUAUUAUUAUUCAUUUAAAAAAAGUAGAAACUCCAACAAACUGGACGCCUUGUAAUGUUUGCUAACGAGCAGUCAGCUAACGAGGGAAUCAGAACAGAUCAAAUGUGUAUGAUAACAUAGACUCAUCAUAAUUAAACAGACUGAAAGCUCAAACUGUGCACCGACUCAGAGUUUGAACAGAAAUAUUAAUGAACAGUUUAAAAAGGUUAAAUCCAUCCGUCGCUCUGCGUUGUGAUUUAAUGGAAACAGGAAGUCUUUAAAUAAUUUACAUGGAUGAGUUUUACAGUUGAACACACGAAGUUUCCAUGAAUCAUCAUGCAGAUGUGUCAGUAAACAUGAAAACAACAAAACAGUUACUGAUCACUAUAGUCAAUGUUUGAUUGAUUAAUUGAUUUGCUGUGACUUGUUAUCUGUCCUUGUAUCAAUAAUCACCUCUCAGUCUCAGCAUGGCCUCCACAGUUUGAGCUCUCCCAUGCCAUUUCAUCUUAACUCCGAUCACUUCUGGGCUUCAAAACAAACAAUCCAACAGUGUUUGUUCAGAAACCAUAAAAAUCAACUGUUAAUCAUGAUCAGAAUUUAAGAGUGAUGGUGAAGAUCGUCGAAUUAAUGCCAGAUUAUUAGUGAAACCAAACAAACAGUAUGUCCGUCAGUCUGAGCCCACAAUCAUCCAGUCUACUGUCAGUGCAUCAUCAUCAUCACCAUCAUCACUCUGCAUCAUGAUCCAUCAUAAAUAGAACUCAACAUAUCUACAGUAUAUAGACACAAGGACAUGAACACAUGCAGAAACUAAACAGUGAUCGACCUCCUCAGGCGGUCGAGACGCAAGAAGGGUUUUAUAAUGUCUUAAUACCUCCAUCUGUUUUACUACAACAGACUCAUUCACAUCUUAAAGUAACUGACACAUGAUGUUUAUUUAAAGGAGGAGAAAAGUGAAGUGAGUGAUAAAGUCUGCCCGGGCCUCUCUGCUCCUGUUGGGACUGUGUUUAGUCUCUAAACAUCUUAAAUCAGGUUCCUCUGUGCUGCAACACCACAGAUGCAGCUGAGCGGCUGAUAAUGUUCCACUUGUGCUGGUCUCAAACACGUAGCUGAGCUCCACCUGUGUGAGCUGCCUCUCCAGCCUCACGGUGGUUAUAGUCAAACUGACUGAUUCAUAUAUUUAUGAUUAAACACACAUCAGUGGUUCUGGUUCAGAACAGGUUCAGAACCAUCAUUAGAUCCUCUAUCAGCAUCUGAAACCUUGUCAGUCUGUGUCAUCAGCUGGACUGAGACCAAGAAGAAGACACCACCACUCACCUCCACCUCACUUCCUCCUCCUCACAGGUGGAGCAGUGUCUCUUUUUGUACACAGGAUUAUCUCACCAAACUUCUUUACACUCUGUAACAUUUGCUUCACCCUCUCACUAUAAGAUUUUAUGUUUUCACUUAUGUCAGUGUUUUCUUUAUGCACAAAUUGAAAAUGUCUGUAAAAUCCAGAGGAUGGAAAAAGGAGAGACAUGAAAAAUAUAAAAACUGUCUCUACUGAAUCAUUCCUGAUGUUUCAGGGUCCCAUCUGUCACAAACUCCUCCACACAGCUGACCAAUCACAGCCUGACCUGUUUGUGAGGGUGGGAACCAGAGGUUUCUGAAGCUAUCUGAUGUCACAAUUUGAUUUAAACACACUGAUGUCACUUAAUUAACUAAGUUACUCAGAAUAAUUCAGAGAGGAGCAGGGAGGCCGACUUUUUCCAGGAAUGUGAACUGAUUCAGCUGAGACAGAGUUGUGAUGGUGACUUCUUCCAUCACACAUGAUUUUUUUAAGAGCUUUAGAGUUACAUGAAGACAGUCCCUCAGUAAAAGGAGCAGCGAGUGGAUUCAAAUACAAUAUUGUUCUCAUCAUACCAUUUGUCCACCUGAUAUGAACCAGGUGAACUCAUGUUAGUGUUGAAAAAUCAAACUGUAGACCUGACUGAAUGUUGCUCCACUGUAUUCAUGCAGAUUUCAAAGGAAACAAAAUGUUUCUGUCAGACGUUACAGACAGCAGACAGGUUUGAUGUUUCAGAGAUGGGGAUAUUGCUCAAAUUGUGUAUUGUUCCUUUUUUCAUCCCAGUUAUGUGCACAUUUUUUCCAUGAAUCUCCUUCAACGCGUCUGUCGUAGGGUGGAAAUGUCACAGAAACAGACGGAAAGAAGGAAAUACAAGAGACAGGAAAAGGAAACAAUGAGAGGGAAAAAAGACGUGAUGCAGAGAUUCUCAGUGUCUGAGAGGAGAAGAGACAUCGAUCCAAUCAUUUCACCUGCAGAGACGAACGUUUGGGAGGAGACGAUGAAGAUGACACCCACACACCCACACACACACACUUAUAUGUACA
This is a long non-coding RNA of Acanthopagrus latus (yellowfin seabream), 3214 nucleotides long. RefSeq lists it as uncharacterized. The transcript is spliced from 2 exons. The record is from RefSeq and is a predicted model, not a curated record. Lineage: Eukaryota; Metazoa; Chordata; Actinopteri; Spariformes; Sparidae.